GAUGAACGCUGGCGGCGUGCCUAAUACAUGCAAGUCGAGCGAACGGACGAGAAGCUUGCUUCUCUGAUGUUAGCGGCGGACGGGUGAGUAACACGUGGAUAACCUACCUAUAAGACUGGGAUAACUUCGGGAAACCGGAGCUAAUACCGGAUAAUAUUUUGAACCGCAUGGUUCAAAAGUGAAAGACGGUCUUGCUGUCACUUAUAGAUGGAUCCGCGCUGCAUUAGCUAGUUGGUAAGGUAACGGCUUACCAAGGCAACGAUGCAUAGCCGACCUGAGAGGGUGGACCGCCACACUGGAACUGAGACACGGUCCAGACUCCUACGGGAGGCAGCAGUAGGGAAUCUUCCGCAAUGGGCGAAAGCCUGACGGAGCAACGCCGCGUGAGUGAUGAAGGUCUUCGGAUCGUAAAACUCUGUUAUUAGGGAAGAACAUAUGUGUAAGUAACUGUGCACAUCUUAACGGUACCUAAUCAGAAAGCCACGGCUAACUACGUG
Molecule: ribosomal RNA, 497 nt
Filed under: uncultured bacterium
Lineage: Bacteria
Description: partial 16S ribosomal RNA
Rfam family: Bacterial small subunit ribosomal RNA
Source: RNAcentral